Zootermopsis nevadensis is the source of this 3146-nucleotide non-coding RNA. The record is from RefSeq and is a predicted model, not a curated record. Lineage: Eukaryota; Metazoa; Arthropoda; Insecta; Blattodea; Termopsidae.
GCCGACAGAUAUACGGAUGGACGGACAGCCCUAUAUGUGUUCGUUCCUCGUAAUUUGCGCAAACAACGCAUAACAGCAGAUAACAACACAUGACAAGAAAUACCUAUAUACAAUUUCAUAAACCCUAGAGGCACGCUGUAAUAUUUUCUUACGCAUAGCAAGCAGUUUCCAUGGCAACAGCAGUCACACGAUACACGCCUGUUCAAUCUUCAUCAGGUGGAUCUUGAUAAACUUCGUCACGAACAGGAAAUCUCAUUUCUUGUGGAUGACUGGCUUGAACAUUUCUCACUUUUUGUGUUUCUUGCCCAUUCAUUUUACCCCCUUUCAAGCAUCAGUUGUUUCUGAUAAGAUCUGAGGUUCUUACGGCGACAAGUAUGAUCGUGUCUGUCUGCUGAGAUGAAGAACCACGUAGUCUGCUAGACAGAAUGACGUUGGUAUACAAAUCGGCUAUUAUUUCAAAUUCGCCAUUCGAAUAUUUUUUCUAUUGCCGUCACUCUAAUAAAAAUAGAAAACAAAACUCUAGAAUGAUUUAUUCAUUUGUUACGUUCUUCUAUCAAGUUUGUUGUUCCAUGUUACGAAUCGUUCUAUAACACUCGUCACUAGUAUUUACGUUUCAUUGACCUCGAUAUAGGAGUCACUAGCGCUAUAUGUUCUUCAUUUGUUAGGUUGGGAAAAAAUGGCGCAUGCGUAUAGACCAGACGGAACGAAACAUGAAUUGGUUUGCUGUAAAAGGUGGUAAAUUAACUAUAUUUAGGAGUAAUAUUCACGUCGUCGGUCAGAGAGAAGUACUUACGUGUACAGACAUUAGUAAUUUACGUGUAUAUUUUUCGAUUUGUAUUUAGACAGCGAAAUUGUGAUUUCACCAGUGUACGAGUAAAUUGUAAGUUACUCUCUGGUCCAUAGUUGGCUUUGUUCUGUUAAUCAUCAGGUUUUUCAUUGUUCACUUUCCACGUUCAUACUUUUUAUAAAUAUUUAUUCCAACGUGUUUCUCGAUGUUCAGUGUUUUGAAAGUUGUGAUGCUAAUGUCUGUAACUGUUAAAAGUUUAGAAAUAUUGACUUCCGUAUCUUAUUUCCGUUUCAUGUGACACAAAUAUCCGAGGUAAACGAAAACACUGACUUGCUGCAUUAUUUUAUUACGCGUCUGAUGUCUUAGUUGUUGUGUGCUGUCGCACACAAAACGUCAUUCUUUACUGUCAAUAUUCCCACAGGUGUCGUAUUUCUAAUUAUAGAGCAGGUAUCUGCAGUUUAUUUACAAUCAAAGCGCAUGCGCGUUUAAGUCAUGUGACUAAUCGCAAGAUCAGUUCUGUUCUGUUAAAGAAACCGGUUUCUUCUGCUUACUGAGCAACACACACGCUGAACAGUUUUAUGUUUAAAAGUGCACAACCUUUGUGACUGUAGCCUUAUCCUUGGAAGUCGAAUGAAGACAACUGUUUGUGUUGUGGUUUCAGAAACAGAGUAUUUACUCUCAUUUGGCUGUUGUUGUAAAGAUAUAUAAUUUAUUUGCGUAAUUUUUGAGUGAUACAAACUACACACAGAAAGGGAAACAAAUGGACGGUUCUUCAAUUCUUCUGUGCAACGAAGAUCGUGGAAUAGCUGAAUGAAGGUGCAGACAGACAGAACGACUACGUAUUAAACGUGAGACGCAAGUAGAAGACGCCAUCUUUGACACCGUCGAUACGUGUUCUUUGUCUACAGUAAGAAACUAAGUUUUGGACCCGAAUAGAGCGACAGGAGAAACUGUACCUCCGCUCUCCCGUCACAUGAUCAUUCGUUCAUCUCACAAGAUGCUAUAAAACAUAUUUAGUUGAUACAGUAUCGUAGGAUAACCAAGGGAGCAUCUCCCGCGGCCGCCAGGAGGUCAAAGUUCAGGUGUGUGUGAGCAUUAUAAAACAGCUAUGGAGUGGAGUAUUGACAGAAGAGAGCCUCCCUCCCUUCCUCUACGUCUUCUUUUCCUUAAAUUCAACCUCUCAUCUGAAUGAGAAGAGAUGAUUUGAAUUCUUGAAUACAUCAAUGGCGCAUAACCUUGGAUUCUCCCCAGAUGUGAGGAUGCAUUAUUUAUGUCGUGACCUGCAGGUUAUGCUUUGUAAUCCUCAACACAGAUUGCAAGAUUUCAAGCUUCAGAAGACUUGGGCAGUAUGGUCUUCCGAAACACUCGUGUGUACCUACAAGCCCACACGGCGUCACAAGGCAGAAGACCAACACAGACAUCUUCAUUGUCGUGAAAUCCACAAAUCUCGUCAUUUCAAACAAUCCAUGAAGUGGAAUUCAAUUUGCACGUAUGGUUUUUAUAUUUGUCGCUUCAAGUAAUAAGAGAGUUCGUCACGUUGGUGGAACUCUUCAUUCGCAACGGCAAUCUCAGUGACAGGACGGACCUGCUCAGAGUGAGCCCGCCGGGGAACGCUGAGGUCGUAUCGACUCGCCCUGAACUUUUUACAAACAACGAAAUGUAUACCGGCCCGAUACAUAGGCGAAAUCUUCUGUGAGAAUUUGUUUUGAUCAAGAGACAAAAUAAGUUCGGAGGCUGCCCCGAUCUCCUGGGAAGUUCAGGUAACUGCACAAUUUCUCAUGGGAGGCAGCAAUCGGAUUUACGGUACUCAGACCUGGUUGACAGCAAACUCAAAAAUUGGAGCUCAUCGCUUAAUUGGAACCAUCCUCUGAUGACAGAACACUGAAAUCAACGAGGGCACAACUGACGGUGUGUGCCCAAGAUGUGGACUACAAGGAAUACGUACUGAAUAUUUGUCAUUAAACGACUUGAAAGACCUAGGCGGGAGGAUAAUAUUAAAUGGACCUUAGGGAUAAAAAGUAAGCUUUCAGGUUCAUACGGCAAGUGUGAAGUUGUCGUUCUUCUGGGUUGUUACGCCCCGUAGUCUGGUAGAAGUUUACGGAUGUUUCGGGGGUGGUCGCUGAUUCCAUCAUCAGGGCGAAACUACCCAGAAGACAGCUAUCGUCUUCAGGGACAUAACGUUUCUAUAGAUGGGAGAUGCAUAGAAGUAGCUCAUGUCCAGUCGCUUUAGCUCUAGCUGUACUAAACUUCCGGAACCUGCUUUAGCAACGUAGUUAGUCGUUAAUUAUUUCUAUCGUUUUUGCUCGGUUAAUUAGGACUCUUUCAGGAAAUUUACGAGUGGAAAUAUUCUCUGAAUUAG